AGUGAACGCUGGCGGUAGGCCUAACACAUGCAAGUCGAACGGCAGCACAGUAAGAGCUUGCUCUUACGGGUGGCGAGUGGCGGACGGGUGAGGAAUACAUCGGAAUCUACUUUUUCGUGGGGGAUAACGUAGGGAAACUUACGCUAAUACCGCAUACGACCUACGGGUGAAAGCAGGGGAUCUUCGGACCUUGCGCGAUUGAAUGAGCCGAUGUCGGAUUAGCUAGUUGGCGGGGUCAAGGCCCACCAAGGCGACGAUCCGUAGCUGGUCUGAGUGGAUGAUCAGCCACACUGGAACUGAGACACGGUCCAGACUCCUACGGGAGGCAGCAGUGGGGAAUAUUGGACAAUGGGCGCAAGCCUGAUCCAGCCAUACCGCGUGGGUGAAGAAGGCCUUCGGGUUGUAAAGCCCUUUUGUUGGGAAAGAAAAGCAGCAGGUUAAUACCCCGCUGUUCUGACGGUACCCAAAGAAUAAGCACCGGCUAACUUCGUG
RNAcentral lists this ribosomal RNA (492 nucleotides) under uncultured bacterium. RNAcentral describes it as "partial 16S ribosomal RNA". It matches the Rfam family "Bacterial small subunit ribosomal RNA", at positions 29 to 507 of the family's 1533-position model. The record is from RNAcentral.